Molecule: long non-coding RNA, 5523 nt
Filed under: Homo sapiens (human)
Lineage: Eukaryota; Metazoa; Chordata; Mammalia; Primates; Hominidae
Description: non-protein coding lnc-BTBD10-2:5
Source: RNAcentral
AUCCUGAGUCUCGGCCCUUUUCGCCAAAUCGCUGCUCUGCCGCGCGCCUACGCAAGGAAAGAUUCAAGGGUCCCUCCACUUCAGGGAGUGGAGCCCGCGCCUCGGCACGGAUCAGCUGUGCGUCUCCUUUGGCCUACUGGCUCCUCUGCUUGUGUCUAUAGCUAGCUGGACGCAUCGUGACUUUAUCUUCUCAUCUUUCCUGGCGCCCCCAGACGCAUUUCCUGGUCCCUCGAGGCAGCGGCGUCUGGGGAGUGCACUUUGCACAGACAGGGAAACCGAGGCACUCAGCGGUCUCCAAUGGAGACGCUGUAAUCGCAUUCCACGACCAGCUAGCGCUAUAAGCGCUGCCUCUAAAGCGGAAGGCCUCCCAGUCCUUCUCGACAGGAAGCAAUAUUUGCAUAUCUAAGGAGAACAAGAUUCGGCAAUGUGCUCCGGGAGCAAGUGCAGGCAUGGAACGGUAUGGGCUGGAGGGGGACAGACCUUCAGAGGCGGCUGCCCGUUCCCUGUAGUGUCACAUAAGAUUUUUAGAAGAUAGGAGUUUUCACAGUGGCGGCAGAGCCCUCUGCUAAAUCCUCAUAUUAGAUGUCAAAGGUGGCAUGUCAUUUGACCCAAUGGCUUUUUUAGUCAUUUAUCUUCCUAACACCUAUGAGAGUAGAGACAGGGUUUCACCAUGUUGGCCAGCCUGGUCUCAAACUCCUGAUCGCAAGUGAUCCGCCUACCUUGGCCUCCUAAAGUGCUGGGAUUACAGGCGUGAGCCACGUCUUUGUUCCAGCAAAACCAACCUAGUCCCUGAUUCACAAAUCAUCCUGGGAGUGUACAGCACUUACAGCCAGAAAGAAGUCUCUGGAGCAAAAAGCAUUGCAUAUUCAAUGGUCUAUGACAUCACCAUCGAAGACUCUGUCAAAAGGGGUUUUGUUUGAUUAAUUUUCAUUAUCUGUUGUUACCCAACUAAUGAAAGGUGAUACUAUUAAUGAGUGUGUGAACGAGACAGUGUCUUCGUUACCACCUCUGAAACACUCCCAGCUUUUUCAGGGACGAAUAGCCCUGACCCAAAGUGUGUCCUUUCUUCAUUGUAGGGAGAUACAAACUGUUUCUCUCCAAGUACUCCAACACCAAUUAUUGUGUGUCACAACCGAGAACACAAUAUGAGGCUUGUGCUUGAAUUACUGCUGUUUUAUGUGCCAAAAAAAAUGCUAGCUUUCUUUUUUCAGUGAAGUUGAUAGAGUUGGAAGACAUUUUAAUACCACAUUUAUUGGUUUGAAAGCAUGAUUGUUUUAGUAGCUGGUGCAAAUUUCAAGGAACACAUAACUCCCUUUAAGAAAUAUUGUUUCUAAGAAAUUACAUUUGACUAAAUUUGGAAGCUUUAAUGCAAAUAACUUUCAAACAAUGAAACCAUAUUCACAAGGAGAUGCUUUUAUUUUCUCCACUGAGGAAGAAAUGGAGACAUGUUUCCUAUUGUCGUUAUGUCCAUCUGGACAGAAAAGGAAGUCUGUGGGCUAGACAAGCAAAAAUAGGUUACAUCUGGGUAGCCCAGCAGUCUCUCCCUGACUGCUGAAGAAGCUCCUCUUUGUUUCAUUCCUGAAGCACGGCGUUGUUUUCUUGGACCCGUGCAUCAAGUUAAACCUGAGUUAGACUAUGGAUCCCUUGCACUUGAUUUUAUGAUUGUAAGACUUACACAAAUGCAAGCCUAGAACACAAUUGAACUCUUAUUUGCUUACAUCUCCAUGAACAGGAAAGAAGCCACUUGAUCUUCUAAAAGUUUUGCCCGGUUGCUUUCUCUUUUAUACCUAUUGUUAAGCUAUAAAAUGAAAUCACCAAAUUAUCAAUCUGCGAGUAUUUGCUACUUCGCAAUAUAUAUUUAAGAAUUUUACAAAACAAAACUGUGCCAUAAAAAGUAUUUCAUCCAUAUGAUCUUACAGUUCCACUUCUAAGAAUGCAUAUACCCAAAAGAAUUGAAAGCAAGAUCUCAAAGAUAUUUGUAUACCUGUGUUCGUAGCAGAUUAUCCACAAUAGCUAAAGGUGGAAGCAAGCCAAGCGUCUAUCAAUGUAUGAAUGGAUAAGUACAAUGUGGUAUACACAAACAAUGAAUUGUCAUUCAGCCUUAAAAAGGAAGGAUAUUCUGGGCUGGGCGCGGUGGCUCAAGUCUGUAAUCUCAGUACUAUGGGAGGCCGAUAGAGGUGGAUCACCUGAAGUCAGGAGUUCAAGACCAGUCUGACCAACAUGGUGAAACCCUGUCUCUACUAAAAAUCCCAAAAAAAAAAAAAAAAAAUAGCCAGGUGUGGUGGCAGGCACCUGUAAUCUCAGCUACUCAGGUGGCUGAGGCCAGGGAAUCGCUUGAACCUGGAAGGUGGAGGUUGCAGCAAGCCGAGAUUGCACCACUGCACUUCAGCCUGGGUGACAGAGUGAGACUUUGUCUCAAAAAAGAAGGAGAUUCUGACACAUGCUAUAACAUGGAUGAACCUUGAGGACAUUAUGGGCUACAGUUACCAAAAUGGCAUGGUACUGGUACAUAAACAGACACACAGACCAAUGGAACAGAAUAGAGAACCCAGAAAUAAGACUGCACACCUACAACUGUCUGAUCUGUGACAAACCUGAUGAAAACAAGCAAUGGGAAAAGGUUCCCUAUUCAACAAAUGGUGCUGGGAUAACUGGAUACUCAUAUACAAAAGACUGAAACUGGACUUUUUCCUUAACCAUAUACAAAAAUUAACUCAAAGUGGAUUAAGGACUUAAAUGUAAAACCCAAAACUGUAAAAGCCUGGAAGACAACCUAGGCAAUACCAUUCAGGACAUAGACACAGACAAAGAUUUCGUGACAAAAAUGCCAAAAGCAAUUGCAACAAAAGCAAAAAUUGACAAAUGGAACCUAAUUAAACUACAGAGCUUCUGCACAGCAAAAGAAAUUAUCAACAGAGUAAACAGAUAACCUACAGAAUGGGAGAAAUUUUUUGCAAACAGUGCAUCGACAAAGAUCUAAUAUCUAGCAUCUAUAAAGAACUUAAACAAAGUUGCAAGAAAAAAAAAUCACCCCAUUAAAAACUGGGCAAAGGACAGGACAUGAACAGACACUUUUCAAAAGAAGACAUACAUUUGGCCAACAAUUAUAUGAAAAAAGCUCAACGUCACUGAUCAUUAGAGAAACUCAAAUCAAACCACAAUGAGAUACUGUCUCAUACCAGUCAGAAUGGCUAAUAUGAAAACGUCCAAAAAUGACAGAUGCUGGUGAGGUUGUGGAGAAAGGGAACACUUUACACGGUUGGUGAGAGUGUAAAUUAGUUCAGCCAUUGUGGAAGACAGUGUGGUGAUUCUUCAAAGACCUAAAGACAGAAAUACCAUUCCAUUCAGCAAUCCCAUUACUGGGUAAUAUACCCAAAGGAAUAUAAAUCAUUCUGUCAUAAAGAUGCAUGUGUGUAUGUUUACUGCAGCACUAUUCACAAUAGCAAAGACAUGGAAUUAACCUAACAUCAAUGGUAGACUGGAUGAAGAAAAUGUGGUACAUAUACAUUGUGGAGUACUAUGCAGCCAUAAAAAAGAACAAGAUCAUUUACUUUGCAGGGGCUUCAAUGGAGCUGGAGGCCAUAUCCUUAGCAGCUAAUGCAGCAACAGAAAACCAAAUAUUGCAUGUUCUCACUUAUAAGUGAGAGUCAAAUGAUGAGAACACAUAUAGGGAAACAACACACACUGAGGCCUAUUUGAGGGUAGAGGGUGGAAGGAGGGAGAGGAUCAGGAAAAAUAACUAAUGGGUACUGGGCUUAAAUACCUGGGUGAUGAAAUAAUCUGUACAACAAACCCCCAUGACACGAGUUUACCUAUGUAACAAACCUGCACAUGUACCCUUGAACUUAAAAUAAAAAUUUAAAAAAAGAAAAUAGGUUGCUUGACUCUGCACCUUUCCUUCUCUGCUUCUCACUUCCCAACUGUUCUAAUUUCAUAUGGGAAUCCAUGCAGUUAUGGAGAAUCCACCUUCAGCAAUGGGAAUGAACCUAGCACCACAUGACCUGGGCUGGAUCAAUCAUCACAUACUAUCCCCUGACCCAGUGAUUGGUUCAGGGAUGGACAUGUGACCUAAGAGAGUGUGGUUAGAGUAAACCUCAGGACUUCUGCUGAUAACAUUGGCAAAAAGAUUUUUUUUUUAAAUGAAUGAGGGCAUGUAGCCUCACAGAACAGCUGGAAGCCAUUUUGCAACCACAGAGAUCUGCCAAAGUCUCCCUAAGAUGAAGAAACACUGAGAUAGCAGAGCCAGGAAAUGGUGAAGGGAAUGUUGGUCCCUGGUCAAGUUGUUUGAGCUAGCCCUGAAGUUUUUCAAAUCUCUGUGGGCUUUUCAAUUGCAUGAGCUAGUAAUUUCCCUUUAUUACUUAAGCCAAUGUGAACCAGCUUUUCUGUUACUUAGAACCAAAAACAUUCUGCUACAUCAUUGAUACACGUCAAACACCCCCUUCCUUUUACAGAAGAAAAGACUAAAUCUCAUGGAUGCUACGUGGCUAGUUAGGAGGAAUUGCCUUCCCAGUUCCAGGCCUUUCUCCUUUUACUACUCUAGCCACUUGUGAUGGGUUUGGUAACAAUGAGUAAAAUGUGCAUUCUCCUUAUUUCUAACCACGGAUUGGAUAUGUUCAGAAAUAUUAAAACUGAUUUUCCUCAAGUGUAUCUUCUGGCAAUUAAUGUCAUUGCUUUAUAGCCACUCUGUACUACGGGCCCUUGUGAUUCAUUAGAAAAAACAAAGGAUCAAAUAGUUAGAGAAGGUAUAAGGACCUUGUUUAAAAUUUUAUUUAAUUUGCAGCUAAUUUACCAGCAACUUAGGCUCAACCACGUAUGCUGCUUUGCUAGUUUCUUCAAAACUUGUCAUGCACUUUCAUUUCUUGGUAAUCAUCCCUCAUUACCAUUUCUUAUCUUUCAAAAACACAGCCUCACCACACUGUAUUCUUACCUUUGGUGCCUCCCUCUACAGCUAGAAUUUCCAGAUUCUGUGGGCUCUUCCUCUGUAAACUCUAAAAAUCCUUCCAUUUUUAUCUAUACAUACUAUUUCCCCCACUCUAACAGAUCUUACCUAUCACCAACCCUAAAAUUACCUAACAAAAUGCUCAUCACAUCUUCAAGGAAAUGUCCCACAGUGAGAGAAAAGAGAAAGGAACCUGUGUUUAUUGUGCUAGGAAGAUACUAGAUACUUUACAGACAUUAACUCAUUUAAUUUUCAUGACCACACCAUGGUAAGUAGGUAGUAGUAUCUCAGUCUAAAAAUAAGGAAACUGAGGUUGGGUGAGUCAUAGGGUUGAAUUCCAAACCUAGGUGUGUGCAGUUCUAAAGAUACUUUCUUCCACUGCUUCUGUUGGACAAUAGAUUUUGCCCCUUUUGUACCAGCUCCAAAGGAUAGUGACCGCCUGGAUCUCGUGUUGAGAAGACUGAAGCCUCAUCCAGGUUGACAGGGAAAGACAAAAGGAUGUCUUGCCAAAGCUUGCCAAGGGGGAAAGUGGCAAUCCACACACCACUUAUUUCACAUUUCUUCAGGCCUGUGCCUGGGGCAGU